GCAUAUCAAUAAGCGGAGGAAAAGAAACUAACAAAGGAUUCCCCUAGUAACUGCGAGUGAAGCGGGAAAAGCUCAAAUUUAAAAUCUGGCGGUCCUUGUGGCUGUCCGAGUUGUAAUCUAGAGAAGUGCUAUCCGCGCUGGACCGUGUACAAGUCUCCUGGAACGGAGCGUCAUAGAGGGUGAGAAUCCCGUCUUUGGCACGGACUACCAGGGCUUUGUGAUGUGCUCUCAAAGAGUCGAGUUGUUUGGGAAUGCAGCUCUAAAUGGGUGGUAAAUUCCAUCUAAAGCUAAAUAUUGGCGAGAGACCGAUAGCGAACAAGUACCGUGAGGGAAAGAUGAAAAGAACUUUGGAAAGAGAGUUAAACAGUACGUGAAAUUGUUGAAAGGGAAACGCUUGAAGUCAGUCGCGUUGUCCGGGGAUCAACCUUGCUCUUUUGCUUGGCGUACUUUCCGGUUAACGGGUCAGCAUCAAUUUUGACCGGUGGAUAAAGGUCAGGGGAAUGUGGCAUCUUCGGAUGUGUUAUAGCCCUUGGUUGCAUACAUCGGUUGGGAUUGAGGAACUCAGCACGCCGCAAGGCCGGGUCUUUGACCACGUACGUGCUUAGGAUGCUGGCAUAAUGGCUUUAAUCGACCCGUCUUGAAACACGGACCAAGGAGUCUAACAUGCCCGCGAGUGUUUGGGUGGAAAACCCGGACGCGUAAUGAAAGUGAAAGUUGAGAUCCCUGUCGUGGGGAGCAUCGACGCCCGGACCAGACCUUUUGUGACGGUUCCGCGGUAGAGCGUGUAUGUUGGGACCCGAAAGAUGGUGAACUAUGCCUGAAUAGGGUGAAGCCAGAGGAAACUCUGGUGGAGGCUCGUAGCGAUUCUGACGUGCAAAUCGAUCGUCGAAUUUGGGUAUAGGGCGAAAGACUAAUCGAACCAUCUAGUAGGCUGGGUUCCUGCCGAAG
Molecule: ribosomal RNA, 948 nt
Filed under: Collybia phyllophila
Lineage: Eukaryota; Fungi; Basidiomycota; Agaricomycetes; Agaricales; Clitocybaceae
Description: LSU rRNA
Rfam family: Eukaryotic large subunit ribosomal RNA
Source: RNAcentral